UCAAAUAAUACACGUUUUCAAAGUAAUUGUUAUAACUGUAAUGGUAUCAUUAGGUACUCAUAUCCGUACUUGGUAUCGGCAAACCCAAAUGUAAGUACUCGUACUUGGUUUCAAAAAAGUGGUAUUGGUGCAACACAUUUC
Long non-coding RNA from Etheostoma cragini (Arkansas darter), 141 nucleotides. RefSeq lists it as uncharacterized. Lineage: Eukaryota; Metazoa; Chordata; Actinopteri; Perciformes; Percidae. The record is from RefSeq and is a predicted model, not a curated record. The transcript has 4 exons.